Molecule: unclassified non-coding RNA, 319 nt
Filed under: Hevea brasiliensis (rubber tree)
Lineage: Eukaryota; Viridiplantae; Streptophyta; Magnoliopsida; Malpighiales; Euphorbiaceae
Source: RNAcentral
GCAAAGAGUGCCAUUGAGAAAGAAGCAGAAGAUGGAUUUAAGUGGAUAAAGUAAGGUGUGGAGGUGAAAUGAGCUUCGUAUUGCAUAAUACCUGGUAUGUGUUUGUUGUUUGUAACUCUAUGGUGUCUGAUAUAGUCAAAUCUUAUCAUUGUCAGAGUCAGGAAUAUUGAGGAUGUGGAAUUUAGAUCUUUUCCAUUUGGUGUUAGUCCUGAACUUGAGCUUUAUUUUGAUACAUACAUGAGUUAUAUUUGGAAUAAUUUAGUUGCUCUGUGGUUAACAGCUGAUUAUGGUAUUGUUCUAGUUUUUUUUUUAAAAAACG